AUUUUACUUUUAUUAGAA
RNAcentral lists this transfer RNA (18 nucleotides) under Drosophila mainlandi. RNAcentral's name for it is "partial tRNA-Leu". The record is from RNAcentral. Lineage: Eukaryota; Metazoa; Arthropoda; Insecta; Diptera; Drosophilidae.